UACGAAGGGGGCUAGCGUUGCUCGGAAUCACUGGGCGUAAAGGGCGCGUAGGCGGCCACGCACGUCCGUUGUGAAAUCGCCCGGCUCAACUGGGCGGGGUCAGCGGAUACGGUGUGGCUCGAGCAAGCUAGGGGGCAAUGGAAUUCCCGGUGUAGUGGUGGAAUGCGUAGAUAUCGGGAGGAACACCAGUGGCGAAGGCGGCUUGCCAGAACGCGCUCGACGGUGAGGGAUGAAAGCUGGGGGAGCAAACCGG
RNAcentral lists this ribosomal RNA (253 nucleotides) under uncultured bacterium. RNAcentral's name for it is "partial 16S ribosomal RNA". It matches the Rfam family "Bacterial small subunit ribosomal RNA", at positions 524 to 776 of the family's 1533-position model. The record is from RNAcentral.